GAUAAAAAACAAGAUAUUCAAUGAAGACAAAAAUUCUGCUCCUGGAAGUGUUCCUGAGCAAGCACUGCCCCAUCCUUAUCAUUUUUUGGAAGAGGGGCUUUAUCCACCCCCAUGCACUUCCCAGGGUCACUGAGAUUUAUUAGCAAGAGAGUCUUUUCACUGGAAGAUCCAAAUGCAAAGUUUGCAGGUGGGCAUGGUCCUGAGCUGAGUGCUUGAAUGGGGGAUGGCAGGAGAAGAAUUCCUCAUCUUCCUGCUCAGUGAUUCAUUUGCACCAAAAGGGAGAAUAAAACCUGGGCCAAAAAAAAAACCAUGGCUUCCACUGGCUCCCAGGUACAGCCCUGCAGAAGUAAUCACUUUAUAGAAGCUAAUAAAGAAUGGAUUAAGCUACA
RNAcentral lists this long non-coding RNA (389 nucleotides) under Coturnix japonica (Japanese quail). Its description in RNAcentral is "lncRNA (ENSCJPG00005018056.1)". The record is from RNAcentral. Lineage: Eukaryota; Metazoa; Chordata; Aves; Galliformes; Phasianidae.